Molecule: ribosomal RNA, 57 nt
Filed under: uncultured bacterium
Lineage: Bacteria
Description: partial 16S ribosomal RNA
Source: RNAcentral
GUACCUGAAGGUGAUAACCCGUAAGGAGUCACUCAAGGUAAACCGGUAACUGGGGCU